RNAcentral lists this ribosomal RNA (466 nucleotides) under uncultured bacterium. RNAcentral describes it as "partial 16S ribosomal RNA". It matches the Rfam family "Bacterial small subunit ribosomal RNA", at positions 28 to 523 of the family's 1533-position model. The record is from RNAcentral.
GAUGAACGCUGGCGGCGUGCCUAACACAUGCAAGUCGAGCGAACUCUUCGGGGUGAGCGGCGGACGGGUAAGUAACGCGUGGGUAACCUGCCCUGUACACACGGAUAACAUACCGAAAGGUAUGCUAAUACGGGAUAAUAUGUGAAAGUCGCAUGGCUUUUAUAUCAAAGCUUUUGCGGUACAGGAUGGACCCGCGUCUGAUUAGCUAGUUGGUAAGGUAACGGCUUACCAAGGCGACGAUCAGUAGCCGACCUGAGAGGGUGAUCGGCCACAUUGGAACUGAGACACGGUCCAAACUCCUACGGGAGGCAGCAGUGGGGAAUAUUGCACAAUGGGCGAAAGCCUGAUGCAGCAACGCCGCGUGAGCGAUGAAGGCCUUCGGGUCGUAAAGCUCUGUCCUCAAGGAAGAUAAUGACGGUACUUGAGGAGGAAGCCCCGGCUAACUACGUGCCAGCAGCCGCCGUAA